RNAcentral lists this ribosomal RNA (427 nucleotides) under uncultured bacterium. RNAcentral describes it as "partial 16S ribosomal RNA". It matches the Rfam family "Bacterial small subunit ribosomal RNA", at positions 355 to 774 of the family's 1533-position model. The record is from RNAcentral.
UGGGGAAUAUUGCACAAUGGGCGCAAGCCUGAUGCAGCCAUGCCGCGUGUAUGAAGAAGGCCUUCGGGUUGUAAAGUACUUUCAGCGAGGAGGAAGGCGGUAAGGUUAAUAACCUUAUCGAUUGACGUUACUCGCAGAAGAAGCACCGGCUAACUCCGUGCCAGCAGCCGCGGUAAUACAGGGGGUGCAAGCGUUAAUCGGAAUUACUGGGCGUAAAGCGCACGCAGGCGGUCUGUCAAGUCGGAUGUGAAAUCCCCGGGCUCAACCUGGGAACUGCAUUCGAAACUGGCAGGCUAGAGUCUUGUAGAGGGGGGUAGAAUUCCAGGUGUAGCGGUGAAAUGCGUAGAGAUCUGGAGGAAUACCGGUGGCGAAGGCGGCCCCCUGGACAAAGACUGACGCUCAGGUGCGAAAGCGUGGGGAGCAAACA